This is a small nuclear RNA of Hippoglossus stenolepis (Pacific halibut), 186 nucleotides long. RefSeq annotates it as U2 spliceosomal RNA. The record is from RefSeq and is a predicted model, not a curated record. Lineage: Eukaryota; Metazoa; Chordata; Actinopteri; Pleuronectiformes; Pleuronectidae. The transcript has a single exon.
AUGGCUUCUCGGCCUUUUUGGCUAAGAUCAAGUGUAGUAUCUGUUCUUAUCAGUUUAAUAUCUGAUAUGUCACUCUAUAUGAGGACUACAUAUUAAACAGAUUUUGGCAUGAGGCAGAAUUUGGGCUUGCUCCUUUCUCCAUGCCUCGGCCUAGCAUUGCAGUACCGCUGAGACGGUGCACUCUGU